GGGCGAUUGGUUUAGUGGUAUAAUACUCCCUUAGCAUGGGAGUGGUCCAGGGUUCGAUUCCCUGAUCGUCCA
Molecule: non-coding RNA, 72 nt
Organism: Alternaria conjuncta
Lineage: Eukaryota; Fungi; Ascomycota; Dothideomycetes; Pleosporales; Pleosporaceae
Source: the annotation of a RefSeq genome assembly